RNA transcript from Nicotiana tabacum (common tobacco), 1272 nucleotides. It is a transcript of the gene named thioredoxin H-type, with no coding region annotated. NCBI's taxonomy places the organism in Eukaryota, Viridiplantae, Streptophyta, Magnoliopsida, Solanales, Solanaceae. The record is from RefSeq and is a predicted model, not a curated record.
AUUUAGGAGAAAACAAAAAUCAUUAAAAACUUGAAACCAAAAAAAGAGAAAAAAAAAAUGGCAGAGGAGGGACAGGUGAUCGGUUGUCACACCGUUGAUGCUUGGAACGAGCAGCUUCAGAAAGGAAUUGACACCAAAAAAUUGUGAAAUACUUGUUGUAAGGUGACGAGGUUGCUCCAGUAAUGAGAUCACUCCACUUCCAGCCAAGAGGUUGGUAGUUUUAGUCACAGAGACGCAAAGUUGUAAAAUGACCACUCUAACUUCUCUAAAGAGGUUUGGGUGGUGUAACAAUUGGAUCUAACUGAUUUCUCAUCUCAUUCUGAUAUGGGAAUUGCCAGAGUGCAAGCUUCAUAGAGAACUCCCUUUCAAGUUCAACUUAUUACGGUCCAUGGGCUAUUACAGUAACACCCUUUUACGUACUCAACGUCCUCCUGAGGUUUGCUCCACCACUGUACUAGGUGAGGUACUAGCUUUGGUAUCAUUGUAACGCCCAAGCCCAAUUGCCUAGGUAUUGCCCGCUUUGGCUCAACUUUUGGAGUCUCACAGUUUUGUCCCCUUAGGUUUUAAUCCAAAAGGCACAUCAAUAGUUGAAACUUGAACUCAGCCUUAUAAGGGUCCUAAUUUUUUCCUUCCAUUCUAAUGUGAAAUUUGCACAAGGAAAGAGUCACCGCGUACCCCUCUUCGAGUUCAACUGUUAGCAUUUGUUCGCUAUUACAACUGGUGGGUUUGCUGGAAGAAUCUAUGAUAUAUUUUACAAAGCUGGUCUAAGAGGAGAUGAGGUGGUACAUCUCAUUCGCUAGGAUUACUAUUUAUUUUUUUCUUUUUAGUUUUUGUCUUUUUCUCAACUUCCCUACUAUUUAGUGCUCUACUAUUGCUGUUAUUGUAUUAUGCAUUUUGUAUGGUACUAAUAUAUCGGCUCCUGUUGCUUUUUUUGAGCUGAGGGUCUCCUGGAAACAGCCUCUCUACUCUUCGGGGUAGGGGUAAGGUCUGGGUACAUAUUACCCUCCCCAGACCCCACUUGUGGGAUUAUACUGGGUCGUUGUUGUUGUUGUUGUUGUUGUUAGUGCUCUACUAAGAAAAUUGGAAAGCCACUUCAUUAAUUCUAUUAAUUAGCCUCCUUCUCUCUUCUUACAUUUAUCUUUUCUCUUCUUUUUUUCAAUUACCCAACAAUUAAAAUUGAAUCAGGCUUUUCCGUACAUGUUCCCUCUGGUCCAUGUUAAAUGAUUUUUUAACCUUUUACAUUUGGUCCAAACUAAGUGAUUAAAAAAAAAA